RNAcentral lists this unclassified non-coding RNA (184 nucleotides) under uncultured Sordariomycetes. RNAcentral describes it as "sequence contains ITS2". Lineage: Eukaryota; Fungi; Ascomycota; Sordariomycetes. The record is from RNAcentral.
UCCACCCUCAAGCCCCUACGGGCUUGGUGUUGGGGCUUCUACGGCGGGGCUCGCCCCCCGUAGGCCCUUAAAGUCAGUGGCGGGCUCGCUAGCACUCCGGGCGUAGUAGCUUUUUACACGUCGCCUAGGGGGUCUGGCGGGCGACCGGCCGUAAAACAGCGACUGCUGUCGCACAUUUUUGCAA